Molecule: ribosomal RNA, 253 nt
Filed under: uncultured bacterium
Lineage: Bacteria
Description: partial 16S ribosomal RNA
Rfam family: Bacterial small subunit ribosomal RNA
Source: RNAcentral
GACGUAGGAGGCGAGCGUUGUCCGGAUUCAUUGGGCGUAAAGAGCGCGCAGGCGGCUUGGUAAGUCGGAUGUGAAAUCCCGAGGCUCAACCUCGGGUCUGCAUCCGAUACUGCCCGGCUAGAGGUAGGUAGGGGAGACUGGAAUUCCUGGCGUAGCGGUGAAAUGCGCAGAUAUCAGGAGGAACACCGGUGGCGAAGGCGGGUCUCUGGGCCGAUACUGACGCUGAGGAGCGAAAGCGUGGGGAGCGAACAGG